This 253-nucleotide ribosomal RNA is filed under the name uncultured bacterium. RNAcentral describes it as "partial 16S ribosomal RNA". It matches the Rfam family "Bacterial small subunit ribosomal RNA", at positions 524 to 776 of the family's 1533-position model. The record is from RNAcentral.
UACAGAGGUCUCAAGCGUUGUUCGGAUUCAUUGGGCGUAAAGGGUGUGUAGGUGGCGCGCUAAGUCGGGUGUGAAAUCCCGGAGCUCAACUCCGGAACUGCCUUUGAUACUCCCGCGCUAGAGAGCUGGAGGGGACAUCGGAAUUCACGGUGGAGCAGUGAAAUGCGUGGAUAUCGUGAGGAACACUAGUGGCGAAGGCGGAUGUCUGGACAGUAUCUGACGCUGAGGCGCGACAGCGUGGGGAGCAAACAGG